GCUUUGUGGUUCAACUGAUAUGAAGAGCUUGCUCGGAUUUGAAGAUGAACAUUGCAAAGAGUGGCGAACGGGUGAGUAACACGUGGGAAACCUACCUCUUAGCGGGGGAUAACACUUGGAAACAAGUGCUAAUACCGCAUAAUACUGAUAACCGCAUGGUUAUCAGUUGAAAGAUGGUUCUGCUAUCACUAAGAGAUGGUCCCGCGGUGUAUUAGCUAGUUGGUAAGGUAAUGGCUUACCAAGGCAAUGAUACAUAGCCGAGUUGAGAGACUGAUCGGCCACAAUGGGACUGAGACACGGCCCAUACUCCUACGGGAGGCAGCAGUAGGGAAUCUUCCACAAUGGACGAAAGUCUGAUGGAGCAACGCCGCGUGUGUGAUGAAGGGUUUCGGCUCGUAAAACACUGUUGUAAGAGAAGAAUGACAUUGAGAGUAACUGUUCAGUGUGUGACGGUAUCUUACCAGAAAGGAACGGCUAAAUACGUGCCAGCAGCCGCGGUAAUACGUAUGUUCCAAGCGUUAUCCGGAUUUAUUGGGCGUAAAGCGAGCGCAGACGGUUGUUUAAGUCUGAAGUGAAAGCCCACAGCUUAACUGUGGAAGUGCUUUGGAAACUGGAUAACUUGAGUGCAGUAGAGGAGAGUGGAACUCCAUGU
RNAcentral lists this ribosomal RNA (652 nucleotides) under Weissella minor. RNAcentral's name for it is "bacterial SSU rRNA". It matches the Rfam family "Bacterial small subunit ribosomal RNA", at positions 46 to 674 of the family's 1533-position model. Lineage: Bacteria; Bacillati; Bacillota; Bacilli; Lactobacillales; Lactobacillaceae. The record is from RNAcentral.